GCCUACGGGAGGCAGCAGUGGGGGAUAUUGCACAAUGGGGGAAACCCUGAUGCAGCAACGCCGCGUGAGUGAAGAAGGUCUUCGGAUUGUAAAGCUCUGUUCUUGGUGAAGAUAAUGACGGUAGCCAAGGAGAAAGCUCCGGCUAACUACGUGCCAGCAGCCGCGGUAAUACGUAGGGAGCGAGCGUUGUCCGGAUUUACUGGGUGUAAAGGGUGCGCAGGCGGCCUGCUAAGUCUGGAGUGAAAGGUACCGGCUCAACCGGUACAGGCUCUGGAAACUGGCGGGCUAGAGAGCAGGAGAGGGCG
Molecule: ribosomal RNA, 305 nt
Filed under: uncultured bacterium
Lineage: Bacteria
Description: bacterial SSU rRNA
Rfam family: Bacterial small subunit ribosomal RNA
Source: RNAcentral